ACGAUGACGUUGAUAGGCCGGGUGUGUAAGCGCAGCGAUGCGUUGAGCUAACCGGUACUAAUGAACCGUGAGGCUUAACCUUAC
This 84-nucleotide ribosomal RNA is filed under the name Klebsiella pneumoniae subsp. pneumoniae KPNIH7. RNAcentral describes it as "partial 23S ribosomal RNA". It matches the Rfam family "Bacterial large subunit ribosomal RNA", at positions 2844 to 2925 of the family's 2925-position model. RNAcentral also lists the same sequence under 1 other name. Lineage: Bacteria; Pseudomonadati; Pseudomonadota; Gammaproteobacteria; Enterobacterales; Enterobacteriaceae. The record is from RNAcentral.